AAAUGCUCAUAUUUCACAAGUGAGAGAGAGAAAAAAAAAUCCCAAUCCCAAAUGUUAGUUGGAAAAAAAAAAUGUUUCAGACUUGCUCAGCUGUGGUUGUUAAACCAAUCUCUUACUCUUAAUUACAUGCAAAAGGUUCCUGGUUCUAAUUAUGGACCUUGGGGAAAUAGCCUGUCUCCCCAAACCAAUAACGCCUCAUGUUAACUUCAGCUCUUUUGUGUUUAAUAUCCUACUGCUGGAUUUCAGCUUCCCUAGAUGAUCUGUAAAUUUGACUUUUUCCACUUCAGUUUUCACAGCGCUGCUCAGAGCAGGGGCUAGGAGACCUUGUUUCCCCGGUGAUUUCUUUAUAACAUUUCUUGCUACUUGAGUACAAAAUCCUCUAACCUAAGAUAUCCACAGCACAGGUUGAAACUCUUGCUUUUACUGUGUUAUUGCCCCUCUUCCUAGAGCUCAUAGCCCUCAGUGACUACGUCAAAGGCUCUUGAAGAGAUGGGAAUGAAGCAUGCGUAGUGGGACUCAUUGUCCUCAGGAUGGAGGUAGACAGAGUUUCUAGGGGUCAGCGGUCCCAGGUGCAUUCCCCUUGUUGGGUUUGGCCCCUCUGAACAUUCUGAAACUCACAAGAGCAAAAUGGAGCAUGAAAUGGCUGGAGCUUAGGAGCAGAGAUUGUCAGCUUCUGAGAGGCAUUAGAAAAUAUCCAGUCCAAAACCCUCAUUUGCCAGAUGUAGCUGGAGAUCUAGAAAGGCAAAAGAACUUGCUCACAUCACAGAGGUAGGUAAUCACCAAACCAGGAUUUUGCCUGGUCUAGUUUGUAGACACCAGGAUUGGUACCUGGGAUUCUUCUGUAGACAUUUCCCAGACUCAUCCUGGUUUGAAAGUCAACUUUUCAAGUCCCAAAAAGGUGACUGAGCAUGAGCUAGGCCCACUUUGGCUUUGGGCCUUUCUCUACCUCUUGUGAUAAACAAUUUUUUUUCACUUCUUUGAUCUCAGUUUCUUUACCAGUGAAAUGGGAAUUAAUCUAUUCACUAUACAAUGGUAUUGUUAAGGGAAUAAAAUAGGAAAGAAGAGUGAAGAAUUGUGAGUAGUUCUCUUGAAAGAUGGUGGAAUGAGAUGGACAUCAUUACCCUAGGUGCAUGUAUGGCUGCACAUAUGAUGGGACACUAC
This 1161-nucleotide long non-coding RNA is filed under the name Marmota monax (woodchuck). Lineage: Eukaryota; Metazoa; Chordata; Mammalia; Rodentia; Sciuridae. The record is from RNAcentral.